GCUCAGCCCAACCCCACAGGGGCUGGGCAAAAAGAUAAAGGCACGUGUGACUUAUUCACGCGUGCAUGAACACUGGUGAAGGUAAUUAAAUUACCUUCACACAGUGUUCUUGUAACACUGAAUUACCUUUUGUGAAAUGAUGAUGCAAAAGGAAACGGAGUCAUACCUGUUUCUAGAGAUCGAAGAUCCUGCUUCUAGAGACCAAAGGUGCUUGCAGUGCUGAUGAUGGUUCCCGCCUACUGCUUCUUCUAGUCUUCUGUCUGUGACCCCUUGUUCGAAGACAAUUUCAAGGAUAAUUCUCCUCACUGUGUGCUCUUCUCUUGUUCUUUCUUUUUCUCUGUAUUUGGAUUUUUAUUUCUACUCUAUUUUUUUGGUGGUUUUCUCUGUUUUCCUCUCUGUUCUUGGGUGAUUUUCUCCGUUCUUGUUUUGCCAAUUUUUUGGGUUAA
Long non-coding RNA from Populus euphratica (Euphrates poplar), 446 nucleotides. RefSeq lists it as uncharacterized. The record is from RefSeq and is a predicted model, not a curated record. The transcript is spliced from 2 exons. NCBI's taxonomy places the organism in Eukaryota, Viridiplantae, Streptophyta, Magnoliopsida, Malpighiales, Salicaceae.